UUGCGGUGGAUUUGAGUAAAGGGUCCGAACACACUACGAGAUUGCUGAGGUUUUUCUUUUCAGCGGACUGGAAAAUCUGAUCAAACUCAAAGUCGAGGUGCUAUGACUGGAUCUAUAUAUAUAACGGUUCUUCUUGAAAAAUAAUGUAGAAUAGGCCAUAGGGAGGGAGAGUGCUUCCUGUCCUAAACAACAGCGGUCUGUCUCCUCGAACAACCAAUUCUCACACGCACUCUCUCCGUCUCUUUCAUUUCCCCCAUAAUUUCUUCUCCCAUCAAGCCUGGGUCGCUAAUUUAUAUAAUUUGUUAUAGUCUAUUUCGUAUUAUUGAUAUCCGAUUCAAGUUAUUGUUGUUGUUGUUGUUCUUCUUCUUCUACCUGUUGUUGCCGUUUUCUUUUCAGUUUUUACUUCGAGAGAUUUUCUUUGAUUGUAAAAUCUUUAAAUUGAUCACCAAUCUGGUAGAUUAUGAUCGUCGUGAGUGAUCUUUUGGGAGUUGGUAUGUUGCGAGACCCAUUUUUGUGAAUGAAGAAGGAUGGGAUUGGAAUCGGUUGGGGUUGAAUUCGUUGAAUUGGAAGAGAAGCUCGACACCCAGUUCGACAAUCGGGUUGGCGAGUUGGUCCGAUCAGUGAUCGGUUAAUUGAAUUUUUUUUGGGGUUCUCUUUAUUUUGUUGCUUGUAAAGAAGCCUAUGAUGUUGGAGGCAUUGGGCGAGGUCAAUUUCCUGGUCGGUGCUUGAUUUUGGGGCUUCUGGGUCUGGGUCAUGGAUGAGGUCGGCCCAAGCAAUGGACAAAAAGAAUCAGGCGGUGGUGGUGCUGAGGAAUUAUCAUCGUCAUCGGCGGCGGUGCCAGGGGGUUUUGAUUGGAGGCCGAAGCAGCUCGUUUUUAGUCUAUAUGAGACUGUGAACAAGGCGCAAGCUUUGCGCGUUGUUGUGCGGAAACCGUUGGUGGCAAGACUAACCAAGGGCAUAGUUGAGACGUACCAAAUAUGCAAUCCGCAGUUUAAGUAUUCAGAGGAACUAAAUCCGAAGAGAUAUUUGACCAGCCCAUCCAUUGGAGUCCUAAAUGAUGGCUAUGAUAAUGUGAACUCAGAUCUUAUUCUGACUGUGAACUGUGUCUUAAUCAAUUCAGGAACACAGCGAAGAUACAUUGUCAACGAUGUUCUUGGUCACGGGACAUUUGGGCAGGUUGCUAAAUGCUGGGAUGCAGAGACAAACUGUUUUAUUGCUUUGAAGAUUAUCAAAAAUCAACCUGCCUACUAUCAGCAGGCACUGGUUGAAGUAUCUAUAUUGACAACGUUGAAUAAGAAGUAUGAUCCGGAGGAUAAGCAUCAUAUUGUUCGUAUUUUUGAUUACUUUGUAUAUCAACGACAUUUGUGCAUCUGCUUUGAACUGCUUGACACCAAUCUGUAUGAGCUUAUAAAAAUAAACCACUUUAGGGGAUUGUCUUUGAGCAUUGUCCAAAUGUUUUCUAAACAGAUUUUAUGUGGACUGGCUCUGUUAAAAGAUGCUAGGAUCAUUCAUUGUGAUCUGAAGCCAGAAAACAUCCUUUUGUGCACGAGUGUGAAGCCAGCAGAAAUUAAAAUUAUCGACUUUGGAUCAGCAUGCAUGGAAGAUCGCACCGUUUACUCCUACAUUCAGAGUCGUUACUACAGAUCUCCUGAAGUUCUUCUUGGGUAUCAAUAUACUACAGCUAUCGAUAUGUGGUCAUUUGGCUGCAUUGUUGCUGAAUUGUUUCUAGGCUUGCCAUUGUUCCCAGGAGCUUCAGAAUUUGACCUCCUUAGUCGGAUGAUUGAAAUACUCGGAGGACAACCCCCAGAUUAUGUAUUAAAGGAGGCUAAAAACACAAGUAAGUUUUUUAAGUGCAUUGGGAGUGUCCACAAUAUAGAGACUGGUGAAGUUUCGACAAAUGGCAGAAGUGCUUACCGAGUAUUAACAGAAGAAGAAUAUGAAGUUAGAGAGAAGAAAAAGCCAGUGAUUGGAAAAGAGUAUUUCAAACAUAUGAAUCUUGAAGCAAUUGUCAGAAGCUAUCCUUACAGAAAGAACUUGCCUGAGGAAGAUAUUUUAAAAGAAAGGCAAAUACGAUUAGCUUUGAUUGAUUUCUUGAGGGGUCUUGUUGACUUUGAUCCUGCAAAGCGGUGGUCGCCUUUACAGGCUUCAAAACAUCCUUUUGUCACAGGGGAACCUUUCACAUGCCCUUACAAGCCUCCCCCAGAGACCCCUCGCGUUCCUGUAGCUCAAAAUAUCAAGGUGGACCACCACCCAGGUGGAGGGCAUUGGUUUGCUGCUGGUCUCUCUCCUAAUAUUCCUGGCAAGAAUAGAGUCGCUCUUCAUAAUAGCCCACACUUUCAGAUGGUGCCAUAUCAACAUGCCCACAGUUAUGGCAGUGUUGGAAGCUAUGGUAGCUACAAUGAUGGUACAGGGCUUGGAAGCAGCUAUGGAAGUUAUGGAGAUAGUAGUAAUGUGUUUGCAUAUUAUUCGCCUGUUGGUCCAUCUGGAAUGAACAUGCAUCCACAUAGCAAUGUGUCAAUGCUAGGAAGUAGUCCUGAUACAAGAAGAAGGGUUAUACAAUACCCACAUGGAAAUGGACUUGGUAUAAGUCCCUCGGCAGGAAAUUUUGCGCCACUGCCUCUUGGCACUAGCCCAUCACAAUUUACUCCACCAAGCUCCUAUAGUCAAGUUUCUGCUGUCUUUCCUGGACAAUAUGGUCCAACCUCUCCAGCAAGAGGUAGUCAUGGAUCGUCUUUAGGAAAGAUGGCUGCAGUUAGCCACUUCAAUAGAAGAAAAAGUUCGGGAUAUUCUGGAAAUUCUCAAUCUCAAGAGAGCUUGUCAUCUUCUCAUUGGCAAGGGCAAUUUAGCGAGGGCUCCAGCUCUUCACAUGCUGAACUUGGUGGUUUUCCAUCGCAUCUGCAAUCAAACUCCAAUGCUGCGAGCUGGAAGCAACAUCAAGGAGGCACCGGAAUCUCAGCUGGUUGCCAUGCUUUUCAGAGCAUGCCAGGAACCUCUAUUCCUGGCUCUCAUAUUCUAUCGGCACAAAAUGCAGGAGCAGCUAAUGACAAGCCUGAGGCUAACCUCUCACUGCCUGACCCUCAAGAUUGGGAUCCCAACUAUAGUGAUGAUCUUCUUCUGCAAGAAGACAGUUUGGAUGUGAGCGAGAUGACAACCGACUUCAGAAAAAACAUGCGUCUUGUAUCUGCAGAUGGAAGAUUCAAUCAUAUCUCAAAUACAGUUUCAAUUUCAUCCAUACAAAGACAAAAUGGACCUGUUCAAGCAUUUUCACAAAUGGAGGUGGGUAGCCCUCCUUCAGGUCAUGAUCCACAUCCUGGAGGAUAUGUCCGCCCCAUGUCAAAGCCUUCUCACAUUGCAUCUCAUAUCUCACAAAACUCUCCUAGCCGUUUGGGUCAGCAAACUGUUCAGCGGUUCAAUAAUGGACGACCCCCCAACAGUCGGACUGACGAAUGGAAUCAUAUGAAUGUUCAUCCUCCUUUCUCCAGCUUUACCUCUGGGGGUCCACGUUCUCCUGGAAAUAGCUCAUUGAGCAAUGGCAUGUCAUGGGGUCGUAGGAGUAAUCAUCCUGUCACAAACAUGCCACCAACAUCCCGUGGAAGGAAAGACUAUGGAAGGAUUUCCUAAUGUUGAAUCAGCUUAUUCUUUUUACCAUGAGGGAUCUUGUCUGUGAGUUGGAAGAAAGUUGUACUCAAUAGUUCAGAUGCCCAAUGGGCUCAUCUGCCGGAAAGAAUUGCAGCAAGGUAUAAGUUGUUCUACGAGUAGCAAGUGGGCCGCGUGGCUGAUGGCGUGAUCGUAAACAGACACUUGAAAAAGAUAUAUUUUUCAUGUUUAAUUAUUUCUGGUUGACAAGCCAAGUAGGUUACUUGCAGAUAUCCCGAGCCACUGUAAAUCCGGUAUACCGAGCAUGUAAAUUAAACAAGUUUUUCAGCCCUUAAAAUAUAAGAUCAUGCUAGUGAUUUUUAUUGACUGUGAAUGAACAAGAGUUGAGAGCUAGACUGAACAAACAAAAUGUAAGUUUUAUGGUUUGCACUACAUGAUGAUAUAUUUGAAUA
This is an RNA transcript of Juglans microcarpa x Juglans regia, 4049 nucleotides long. It is a transcript of the gene named dual specificity protein kinase YAK1 homolog, with no coding region annotated. Lineage: Eukaryota; Viridiplantae; Streptophyta; Magnoliopsida; Fagales; Juglandaceae. The record is from RefSeq and is a predicted model, not a curated record. The transcript is spliced from 19 exons.